GCGCCCGCGUGCCGCAGCCCGCGUCGCCUACCGCCGCCGCGCGCCUCCGCCGCCCCGCGCCGCUGCCGCCGCCGCCGCCGCCACGCUUGCUGGCUGGCCGGCUGCGGGCGCCGGGCUCCUGCUGGAGGAGAGGACAGCCAGCGCCGCCGCCGCUCCGGUCCGGGCCCGGGUCCCGGCCCCGGCCCCGUCCCGGGCCCCGGCCACAACCCCCUGCCCGGCCCGGCCAUGAAGUGUCACUACGAGGCGCUGGGGGUGCGGCGCGACGCCAGCGAGGAGGAGCUCAAGAAGGCCUAUCGGAAGCUGGCCCUGAAAUGGCACCCGGAUAAAAAUCUGGAUAAUGCCGCAGAAGCAGCUGAACAAUUUAAAUUAAUCCAAGCAGCAUAUGAUGUGUUGAGUGACCCUCAGGAAAGAGCAUGGUAUGAUAAUCAUAGAGAGGCCUUACUUAAAGGAGGGCUGGAUGGAGAAUAUCAGGAUGACAGCUUAGAUUUGCUUCACUAUUUCACUGUUACUUGUUAUUCUGGAUAUGGAGACGAUGAAAAGGGCUUUUACACAGUGUAUCGUAGUGUUUUUGAAAUGAUUGCAAAGGAAGAACUGGAAUCUGUGUUAGAGGAGGAUGUUGAGGAUUUCCCAACUUUUGGAGACUCCCAGAGUGACUAUGAUACGGUAGUCCACCCUUUCUACGCUUACUGGCAGAGUUUCUGCACUCAAAAGAAUUUUGCUUGGAAGGAAGAAUAUGAUACCCGGCAAGCUUCAAACCGCUGGGAAAAACGAGCCAUGGAAAAAGAAAACAAAAAGAUUCGAGACAAAGCAAGGAAAGAGAAGAAUGAGCUUGUACGGCAGCUGGUAGCUUUCAUUCGGAAAAGAGAUAAAAGAGUGCAGGCACAUCGAAAGCUUGUAGAGGAACAAAACGCUGAGAAGGCGAGGAAGGCCGAGGAGAUGAGGCGGCAGCAGAAACUAAAGCAGGCAAAACUGGCAGAACAGUACAGAGAACAGAGCUGGAUGACCGUGGCUGAUUUGGAAAAGGAACUGCGGGAGAUGGAAGCACGAUACGAAAAGGAGUUUGGAGAUGGAUCAGAUGACAAUGAAAUAGAACACCAUGAACUUAAAGAUGGACAAGAUGGUAAAGAUAGUGAUGAGGCCGAAGAUGCUGAGCUUUAUGAUGACCUUUACUGUCCAGCAUGUGACAAAUCUUUCAAGACAGAAAAGGCUAUGAAGAAUCAUGAAAAGUCAAAGAAGCAUCGGGAAAUGGUUGCCUUGUUAAAACAACAAUUGGAGGAAGAGGAAGAAAAUUUUUCAGGAUCUCAUACAGACGAAAAUCUAUUGAAUGCCAAUUCUGAGGAAGAAAUGGAAGAUACACCAAAACAAAAGCAUUCUAAAAAGCAGAAGAAAAGGAAACAGAAACCAGCACAGAAUUACGAUGACAAUUUCAAUGAAAAUGGACCUGGAGAAGGAGUAAAGGUUGAUCCAGAAAAUAUCAACUUAAAUCAAAACAGUGCCAAAGAAUUAGAAGUUAUUCCCCAAGAAAAUGCCAAUGUCACAGAGACCAUUGAAGCUUGUGAUGAUCCAAAAAGUGAAGCUAAAAGUGUUCCUAAACCCAAAGGAAAGAAAACCAAAGAUGUGAAAAAAUCUGUCAAAGUACCUGCUGAACCACAAAUACUGAAUGAUGUUCUUAUCAGCUGUACAACCUGCCAUAGUGAAUUUCCAUCCCGGAAUAAACUUUUUGAUCAUCUAAAAGCUACAGGUCAUGCAAGAGCACCUCCAUCUUCAUCUUUAACCAGUGUAACAAGUAGUCGAAGCAAGAAAGAGAAACGUAAAAACAGAUAGAAAUUCAGCCAACGCGCUUUUUGUUUUUUAACUGUCUCUAGAUUUUGAAACCAAAAACUGAACUGAAAUCAUCUAAAGAGUUAAAAUUUCAGUGAUCUGCAAUUUAUUGCAUUGUGGAAGAUUAUUUUUAUCUUGUAAAGACAUUUUUUGUUUAAUAUAUAUUUUUUAAACAUUUCACUAGUGAUUGAAUUCUACUUUUGCCAUCUGAAUUGACUUGAAUGUCUUAAAACAGCUUUCUCCAUCUCUUCAGGGGCAAUACUAGCCAGUUUUGUAUCUUCUGAUCUUUUCCUCCCAGGCUUCAUCUGAACACCGUCUACCUUCCUAUAAUAUGAACUAGAUGAAGUUGAUCAUAAUUAUGAAUAGGAAUAUUAGUAAAUAGAAGCACAUGUAAGUCACAUAUUAUUAUACAGUGAAAAAAAUAUAAAGAUUUCUUGAAAGGCAUAGAGUGUCCUAUCAAUGUCCUUCAGACCUUCUUUGCUUUCCUUCGUAUUGACCAUGAUGGUGUUUAAUUUGUUUU
Molecule: RNA transcript, 2341 nt
Organism: Sciurus carolinensis (gray squirrel)
Lineage: Eukaryota; Metazoa; Chordata; Mammalia; Rodentia; Sciuridae
Gene: Dnajc21
Gene name: DnaJ heat shock protein family (Hsp40) member C21
Exons: 13
Source: RefSeq, a predicted model, not a curated record